GUGCCAGCAGCCGCGGUAAUACAGAGGGUGCAAGCGUUAAUCGGAAUUACUGGGCGUAAAGCGCGCGUAGGUGGUUUGUUAAGUUGAAUGUGAAAGCCCCGGGCUCAACCUCGGAACUGCCCUUGAUACUGGCGAUCUUGAGUAUGAGAGAGGUAUGUGGAACUCCGAGUGUAGAGGUGAAAUUCGUAGAUAUUCGGAAGAACACCAGUGGCGAAGGCGACAUACUGGCUCAUUACUGACGCUGAGGCGCGAAAGCGUGGGGAGCAAACAGGAUUAGAUACCCUGGUAGUCCACGCCGUAAACGAUGUCAACUAGCCGUUGGAAUCCUUGAGAUUUUAGUGGCGCAGCUAACGCAUUAAGUUGACCGCCUGGGGAGUACGGCCGCAAGGUUAAAACUCAAAUGAAUUGACGGGGGCCCGCACAAGCGGU
Molecule: ribosomal RNA, 429 nt
Filed under: uncultured bacterium
Lineage: Bacteria
Description: bacterial SSU rRNA
Rfam family: Bacterial small subunit ribosomal RNA
Source: RNAcentral